Molecule: ribosomal RNA, 398 nt
Filed under: uncultured bacterium
Lineage: Bacteria
Description: bacterial SSU rRNA
Rfam family: Bacterial small subunit ribosomal RNA
Source: RNAcentral
GGGAUAUUGCACAAUGGAGGGAACUCUGAUGCAGCGACGCCGCGUGAGGGAAGAAGGUUUUCGGAUUGUAAACCUCUGUCUUCGGUGACGAAACGAGACGGUAGCCGAGGAGGAAGCCACGGCUAACUACGUGCCAGCAGCCGCGGUAAUACGUAGGUGGCAAGCGUUGUCCGGAAUUACUGGGUGUAAAGGGAGCGUAGGCGGGAAAGCAAGUUGAAUGUUUAAGGUACGGGCUCAACCUGUACAAGCGUUCAAAACUGUUUUUCUUGAGUGGAGUAGAGGUAAGCGGAAUUCCUAGUGUAGCGGUGAAAUGCGUAAAUAUUAGGAGGAACACCAGUGGCGAAGGCGGCUUACUGGGCUUUAACUGACGCUGAGGCUCGAAAGCGUGGGUAGCAAAC